UUUAGACAAUAAUUCUGAUGGCAAAAGAGCCAAACGGGACAGGCAAAAAAAAAAAGUUUGGAACUGGACCUUCAACACAGUCACAGUAAUUCUGUGUCUCGUUGCACGGGUCAUAGCUGUUGUUGGUCUGACAUUUAUGACCAACAAAUUUCAUAGUGUCAAUCUGACCAAAGAGGAUCAGUUUCUAAUUGCCUGCAGUGACCUGUGAGGUGCCGUUGCCUUCUCUCUUGCUUUCGUGCUGGAAACUGAUCAUUUUCCAGAGAGACAGAGACAUCACUGCCAUUAUUACAGUGAUUUUCUUCAUUGUCUUUGUUCAGGGCAUGACCACCAAACCCCUAAUGAAGCUGCUGGUGGUGAAGAAGAAACAACUUGCCAUUGAUGAAGAGAUCCACACCCAGAUGCACAACAGGUUGGCAGUGUUCCUGCUGAUGGUUUUGGGCCUUACCCACAAUGUUGCCAGCUCCAAGCAGCCUUCUCCACCAACAGCACAUUCACAUUCCAACAAUGCAACUAACAUCGGCAGUAACGGCACUGGAAAGGUUUUCCCACUUUAUUUCGAGUGCGGGAAAGUUCAAGUUUCAUUUGAAGUUGCAUUGUGGAUCCUCCUUGCUUCUCUAAGAAAAUUAGGAGAACAUCCAACAGCUGUCUGAAGGACAGUGUGAAGAAAUCCAUGAAUUACUACAAAAUUCAUGGAUUCUGCUCCAAAGGACACGGCAGAGGGGAGUGAGAAGCCCACUGCAGCGACCUCACCCGGGUUUGCCAGAGAGGCCCUCCAGUCCUAAUUGCCGCCAUCCAAGAGGACACUCCAGGGCCCAGUUAUUCAGUGGGCCACCAAAGUGAGCAGGAGGAUGACGGCCAGCUGGGCUGAGAGAGGGGGGAACAAAUAACACUCCUUAAAUAUUAAUCACUGUACAUAGUUGAACUUCCUGUUUGUUGAACUUUAUUUGAAUUAUUUUUUUAAACUAUGUCCAACAAAAUGUAUAAAGUUUUAUAAAUAAAAAUCAUUGUAAACAC
This is a long non-coding RNA of Oreochromis niloticus (Nile tilapia), 1014 nucleotides long. RefSeq lists it as uncharacterized. NCBI's taxonomy places the organism in Eukaryota, Metazoa, Chordata, Actinopteri, Cichliformes, Cichlidae. The record is from RefSeq and is a predicted model, not a curated record. The transcript has 6 exons.